CCCUAGUGGCGCACGGGUGAGUAACGCGUGGGAACCUGCCCUGUGGUACGGAAUAACUCCGGGAAACUGGAGCUAAUACCGUAUGUGUCUUGAGGGACAAAGAUUUAUCGCCAUGGGAUGGGCCCGCGUAGGAUUAGCUUGUUGGUGGGGUAACGGCCUACCAAGGCAACGAUCCUUAGCUGGUCUGAGAGGAUGAUCAGCCACACUGGGACUGAGACACGGCCCAGACUCCUACGGGAGGCAGCAGUGGGGAAUAUUGGACAAUGGGCGCAAGCCUGAUCCAGCAAUGCCGCGUGAGUGAUGAAGGCCUUCGGGUUGUAAAGCUCUUUCGCACGCGACGAUGAUGACGGUAGCGUGAGAAGAAGCCCCGGCUAACUUCGUGCCAGCAGCCGCGGUAAUACGAAGGGGGCUAGCGUUGUUCGGAAUUACUGGGCGUAAAGGGCGCGUAGGCGGUACUUCAAGUCAGGCGUGAAAGCCCCGGGCUCAACCUGGGAACCGCGCUUGAGACUGGAGAACUAGAGUUCGGGAGAGGAUGGUGGAAUUCCCAGUGUAGAGGUGAAAUUCGUAGAUAUUGGGAAGAACACCGAUGGCGAAGGCAGCCAUCUGGACCGACACU
This 616-nucleotide ribosomal RNA is filed under the name uncultured Alphaproteobacteria bacterium. Its description in RNAcentral is "bacterial SSU rRNA". It matches the Rfam family "Bacterial small subunit ribosomal RNA", at positions 90 to 741 of the family's 1533-position model. Lineage: Bacteria; Pseudomonadati; Pseudomonadota; Alphaproteobacteria. The record is from RNAcentral.